CCUCAUUCUAGCUUAAAAUGCUUCUGUGGCCUCCCGUGGACCUGAGGAUGAGGACUAACUCUGCUCUGCAUGCAGGCCCUCCUGAGUCAGGCCUUCUUCUCCAGGCUGGUCGCCCACAGUCAUUCUGCCCUCCAGCCAUCCCAAGCCAGAAGGCCUCCUUCUCAGAACUACUGAUUUCACACUUCCCUGUGUUGUACUUUCCCCACCACCCCGACUAGGCAUGCUGCUCCCUCUAUCCUUGCAAACAGAACAUGGCUGUGCAGUCGGCGAGGACAUCCUUCCAGGCUUCCUGACCACAGGCAGGAAGAGAAGUCCCCCCUGCCACUCCACACCCAGGAGAAGAGAGUGGCUGGUCCUGUCAGACUCUGGCUUUCCAAAGUCUGGGCAGGGCCUGGCACAGGGAUUCAGCAGCUAAGAAAGCCAAGAGGAGUUACUGACCAGCUUUUCUCCAGGAUCUCACAUAAACCAGAAGUGCAGCAGCAAUAACCAUCAGGCCAAGCAGGCUCGCAGGAAGCCAAGGAACCAGCCAGUUGCUGGCGGGAGUGAACAAGACUUGAGAACCUGGGAGCAGGGAGAAGAAGGUGGCCAUGAGCACUGAAGAUAAAAUUCGGAAAUGCAUUCUAGCCUGGCACAGAACAGGCAGAAUGACUGAUAUUAGGGGAACCGUCUGGCCUGGGGGAGCCUCAUAGAUGGGCAUGAAGGAUGGCUCAGGGGAUGGCAGCAAGGAUGAUGGUGACACCACGAGUGACCACGUGACUGCUCCCCCCGUGAGGCUCCCCACUCUCCAUGGACUUCAAUAUUUCUCUGCCAGGCUCAGUGGACAGAUGGACUAAUUAGGGUCCAUGCUCAGUCAUGCAGUGGCUGCCAUGAGUCCAGCACUGUGCCAGUCGUGAUGGGAGGUACACAGAGGGUGAGAUCUGACCCCUGCCAGCUUGCUGGGGCUCAAAGCUCUGUUGGAGAACAAAACACACCCUUCAGAGACAGCUUCUUGGGCUCACUCCUCUCUCUGGAGACACUGUUCUCAGCCUCGCAGGAGUAGUUCCCAGCAUCCUGUUCUG
This 1058-nucleotide long non-coding RNA is filed under the name Homo sapiens (human). RNAcentral's name for it is "LNC_000365". The record is from RNAcentral. Lineage: Eukaryota; Metazoa; Chordata; Mammalia; Primates; Hominidae.